CGGAGAGUUUGAUCCUGGCUCAGGCUGNUNGCUGGCGGCGUGCCUAAUACAUGCAAGUCGAACGCUUUGUGGUUCAACUGAUUUGAAGAGCUUGCUCAGAUAUGAUGAUGAACAUUGCAAAGAGUGGCGAACGGGUGAGUAACACGUGGGAAACCUACCUCUUAGCAGGGGAUAACAUUUGGAAACAGAUGCUAAUACCGCAUAACAACUUGGACCGCAUGGUCCGAGUUUGAAAGAUGGCUUCGGCUAUCACUUUUGGAUGGUCCCGCGGCGUAUUAGCUAGAUGGUGAGGUAACGGCUCACCAUGGCAAUGAUACGUAGCCGACCUGAGAGGGUAAUCGGCCACAUUGGGACUGAGACACGGCCCAAACUCCUACGGGAGGCAGCAGUAGGGAAUCUUCCACAAUGGACGAAAGUCUGAUGGAGCAACGCCGCGUGAGUGAAGAAGGGUUUCGGCUCGUAAAACUCUGUUGUUAAAGAAGAACAUAUCUGAGAGUAACUGUUCAGGUAUUGACGGUAUUUAACCAGAAAGCCACGGCUAACUACGUGCCAGCAGCCGCGGUAAUACGUAGGUGGCAAGCGUUGUCCGGAUUUAUUGGGCGUAAAGCGAGCGCAGGCGGUUUUUUAAGUCUGAUGUGAAAGCCUUCGGCUCAACCGAAGAAGUGCAUCGGAAACUGGGAAACUUGAGUGCAGAAGAGGACAGUGGAACUCCAUGUGUAGCGGUGAAAUGCGUAGAUAUAUGGAAGAACACCAGUGGCGAAGGCGGCUGUCUGGUCUGUAACUGACGCUGAGGCUCGAAAGUAUGGGUAGCAAACAGGAUUAGAUACCCUGGUAGUCCAUACCGUAAACGAUGAAUG
Molecule: ribosomal RNA, 857 nt
Filed under: uncultured bacterium
Lineage: Bacteria
Description: bacterial SSU rRNA
Rfam family: Bacterial small subunit ribosomal RNA
Source: RNAcentral